Molecule: ribosomal RNA, 392 nt
Filed under: uncultured bacterium
Lineage: Bacteria
Description: partial 16S ribosomal RNA
Rfam family: Bacterial small subunit ribosomal RNA
Source: RNAcentral
AUACGGAGGAUCCGAGCGUUAUCCGGAUUUAUUGGGUUUAAAGGGUGCGCAGGCGGCCAUUUAAGUCAGCGGUUAAAUCGUGGGGCUCAACCCCAUUCUGCCGUUGAUACUGGGUGGCUUGAUUGCGGUCGAGGUUGGCGGAAUUCGUUGUGUAGCGGUGAAAUGCAUAGAUAUGACGAAGAACACCGAUUGCGUAGGCAGCAGACCAGACCGCAAAUGACGCUCAUGCACGAAAGUGCGGGGAUCGAACAGUAUUAGAUACCCUGGUAGUCCGCACAGUAAGCGAUGAAUACUUGUUUUCGGCGAUAUAAUGUCGGAGGCAAAGCGAAAGCGAUAAGUAUUCCACCUGGGGAGUACGCCGGCAACGGUGAAACUCAAAUGAAUUGACGGGG